Molecule: ribosomal RNA, 463 nt
Filed under: uncultured bacterium
Lineage: Bacteria
Description: bacterial SSU rRNA
Rfam family: Bacterial small subunit ribosomal RNA
Source: RNAcentral
CCUACGGGUUGCAGCAGUGGGGAAUAUUGCACAAUGGGCGCAAGCCUGAUGCAGCCAUGCCGCGUGUAUGAAGAAGGCCUUCGGGUUGUAAAGUACUUUCAGCGAGGAGGAAGGCAUUAAGGUUAAUAACCUUGGUGAUUGACGUUACUCGCAGAAGAAGCACCGGCUAACUCCGUGCCAGCAGCCGCGGUAAUACGGAGGGUGCAAGCGUUAAUCGGAAUUACUGGGCGUAAAGCGCAUGCAGGCGGUUUGUUAAGUCGGAUGUGGAAUCCCUGGGCUCAACCUGGGAACUGCAUUCGAAACUGGCAAGCUUGAGUCUUGUAGAGGGGGUAGAAUUCCAGGUGUAGCGGUGAAAUGCGUAGAGAUCUGGAGGAAUACCGGUGGCGAAGGCGGCCCCCUGGACAAAGACUGACGCUCAGGUGCGAAAGCGUGGGGAGCAAACAGGAUUAGAUACCCUAGUAGU